CUUGUAACCGGUUCCUCGGAGCUUCAGUGAGAGUCAAUUGAUGUGUAGUUCAGUUUGAUAUUAAUAAAUGCUUACAUGAUACGAAGUGCAUAAUUGAAGGAUUGAAGAAAUUUUAGCAAUGGCAGCCUAUUCUAGAUGAUAUAUCUGUGGUUAUUAUUAUUACAAGGAAACAAGGGUAAAAUCUUGAGUUAUCUUCACAGGUAGAAAGCAUAGAGAGCAUAGAGGACCAAGUCUCAUUUGUUAUCAUUUAGGGAUUAUGUUCAGUAAUAUAUAUACAACUUGUAAUACAUGUGAUGCUUUGAUGCAAGCCUACCACUUGUAAUAUCUACGGAGACUGAUGCACCACUAGAGCUAAUAAUUUCUUGAUGUCAAUUGGUUAUUUUUUCUAAUUACUACAUUGAUCAACAGAUCGACUUAUAAGAGUCAAGGUGGAGGAGGUUUCUGAAGAUGGCAAUGUUCAGACUCAAGGUGGGGUUGGGGGUGCGCUGCAAGGAAGGAAGAAAGGAGCAACCAUGACACCCGGCAAAUGUUCUAAGGAUGGCAAUGUUCAGACUCAAGGUGUUUCAUUACCGUCAACUUCCUAGUUAAGGUUCAAUGGCUGGAAUUGGAACAGGGGGGAAUUUUCUUUAUCUCCCUAGUUAAGGUUCCUUGUUAUUGGUGACAGGAACUUGAAGAAGAGAACCAUGGAUGACAACCUUCUGGAGUGCCUUCAAUCUGUGAACAUUUGUUUGGUCAAAUAAAUUCAGUUGUGAACUUACAGCCUGUAAUACUGAUGCUUUUCAUGAGUCUCAGUUGAACAUUUGUUUGAUCAAUUAAAUUGUAACUUGAUGUUUCAGUAGUAAAGUACUGCUAAGCAUUUUGUUUAA
Molecule: long non-coding RNA, 866 nt
Organism: Lolium rigidum
Lineage: Eukaryota; Viridiplantae; Streptophyta; Magnoliopsida; Poales; Poaceae
Exons: 2
Source: RefSeq, a predicted model, not a curated record